Non-coding RNA from Henosepilachna vigintioctopunctata, 73 nucleotides. Lineage: Eukaryota; Metazoa; Arthropoda; Insecta; Coleoptera; Coccinellidae. The record is from the annotation of a GenBank genome assembly.
GUUUCCGUGGCUAAGUCGGGAGAACGCCCGACUACGUUUCGGUAUAACCCGGGUUCGAGCCCCGAUGAAGGCA